CAGGCCUAACACAUGCAAGUCGAACGGUACAGGAAGCAGCUUGCUGCUUUGCUGACGAGUGGCGGACGGGUGAGUAAUGUCUGGGAAACUGCCUGAUGGAGGGGGAUAACUACUGGAAACGGUAGCUAAUACCGCAUAACGUCGCAAGACCAAAGAGGGGGACCUUCGGGCCUCUUGCCAUCGGAUGUGCCCAGAUGGGAUUAGCUAGUAGGUGGGGUAACGGCUCACCUAGGCGACGAUCCCUAGCUGGUCUGAGAGGAUGACCAGCCACACUGGAACUGAGACACGGUCCAGACCCCUACGGGAGGCAGCAGUGGGGAAUAUUGCACAAUGGGC
Molecule: ribosomal RNA, 336 nt
Filed under: uncultured bacterium
Lineage: Bacteria
Description: bacterial SSU rRNA
Rfam family: Bacterial small subunit ribosomal RNA
Source: RNAcentral